Molecule: long non-coding RNA, 560 nt
Filed under: Vulpes vulpes (red fox)
Lineage: Eukaryota; Metazoa; Chordata; Mammalia; Carnivora; Canidae
Description: lncRNA (ENSVVUG00000011640.1)
Source: RNAcentral
CCAAGUUUCAAACCUUAAGGAUUCAAUAAGCAAUCUUGAAAGAAGGACACCACCUUAGAAAAGAUGAGGUUUGCCAACCUCUUCAUUCCUCCUUCAACAACUCACCUGACAUUCACGAGCGUCUUCAGUGGGCAAUGAGAAAGCCAUUAAAACGAGGAAGGCCUGUAGAGACCAGUGUCGAGGACCUUCUCCUUACCUGUUGGUUUGGCCAGAGGGGUGACCUCUAAAAAGCAGGAGGCUGUAGCAAGAAGCCAACAUUCACAGCAAGGUUCUGGGCUUCUCUGCGGCCUUCUUCUGCGGUGGGUUAUUUCCACUACGUUCCCAGGCAGGCUUCGCUUCUCGCAGAAGUGAGAAAAGACCGUGUCAGCAGCCCCCAGCUCAGAGCCGGCUCUCCUAAGAAGAUGCUCACUUUUCAGGAGUUAGGGGUGGUGGCCAAGAGCUCCACUUGACCCAACCUCCUCUGUGCCAUUAAGGGAAGUUAAUUAAAACAGUGUGGGCUCCUGUCCAUGCACCGCGUAUUUCCUGGUUGAUUCAGCAGUUCCAAAGGAGGCUAGAAGUUU